RNAcentral lists this long non-coding RNA (311 nucleotides) under Physcomitrium patens. RNAcentral's name for it is "long non-coding RNA (PPAT_LNC001218)". Lineage: Eukaryota; Viridiplantae; Streptophyta; Bryopsida; Funariales; Funariaceae. The record is from RNAcentral.
GUAGUUUUUGAUAAUUCCACAAAUUUGAGUGACUCUUUUGAAGUAUCUAUAGAUACCUCAUUUUUUUGAAGUUGUGCGAAAUUUAUUAGUUUUUUAGCAUUUGUACUUCUAAUUACAACCAAAGAAGGUAAAUAUAUAUUAUCCAAGAAGAUCUCGUUGAUGUCUAAUUGUACCAAGUUGGAUUGAGGAGAUGGUAAGUAUGUCAAGUUGAGCCACUUUCUAUCUAUUAUCUUGAGAAGUUUGUGGUUGUUAGUUAUUGGUUUUGGUUUUGAUUUUGGAUAUAUGCUACAAAUCUUUACUAUGUCCCAUGA